RNAcentral lists this non-coding RNA (31 nucleotides) under Mus musculus (house mouse). The record is from RNAcentral. Lineage: Eukaryota; Metazoa; Chordata; Mammalia; Rodentia; Muridae.
UAAAGGGANAGCCUGAGGAUAAUGCCUUUGG